This 462-nucleotide ribosomal RNA is filed under the name uncultured bacterium. Its description in RNAcentral is "partial 16S ribosomal RNA". It matches the Rfam family "Bacterial small subunit ribosomal RNA", at positions 28 to 507 of the family's 1533-position model. The record is from RNAcentral.
GACGAACGCUGGCGGCGUGCUUAACACAUGCAAGUCGAGCGGAAAGGCCCUUCGGGGUACUCGAGCGGCGAACGGGUGAGUAACACGUGAGUAACCUGCCCCAGACUUUGGGAUAACCCUCGGAAACGGGGGCUAAUACCGGAUACGACACAGCUUCGCAUGGGGUCUGUGUGGAAAGUUUUUCGGUUUGGGAUGGGCUCGCGGCCUAUCAGCUUGUUGGUGGGGUGAUGGCCUACCAAGGCGACGACGGGUAGCCGGCCUGAGAGGGCGACCGGCCACACUGGGACUGAGACACGGACCAGACUCCUACGGGAGGCAGCAGUGGGGAAUAUUGCACAAUGGGCGGAAGCCUGAUGCAGCGACGCCGCGUGAGGGAUGACGGCCUUCGGGUUGUAAACCUCUUUCAGCAGGGACGAAGCGUAAGUGACGGUACCUGCAGAAGAAGCGCCGGCCAACUACGUG